Molecule: ribosomal RNA, 791 nt
Filed under: uncultured archaeon
Lineage: Archaea
Description: bacterial SSU rRNA
Rfam family: Archaeal small subunit ribosomal RNA
Source: RNAcentral
ACGGCUCAGUAACACGUAGUCAACAUAACCAAAGGACGUGGAUAAACUCGGGAAACUGAGGCUAAACCGCGAUAGAUCAAGAUACCUGGAAUGGUUUUUGAUUAAAAUCUAUAUGGCCUUUGGAUUGGACUGCGUCCGAUCAGGCUGUUGGUGAGGUAAUGGCCCACCAAACCUGUAACCGGUACGGGCUCUGAGAGGAGGAGCCCGGAGAUGGGUACUGAGAAAAGGACCCAGGCCCUAUGGGGCGCAGCAGGCGCGAAACCUCUGCAAUAGGCGAAAGCUUGACAGGGUUACUCUGAGUGAUUUCCGUUAAGGAGAUCUUUUGGCACCUCUAAAAAUGGUGCAGAAUAAGGGGUGGGCAAGUCUGGUGUCAGCCGCCGCGGUAAUACCAGCACCCCGAGUGGUCGGGACGUUUAUUGGGCCUAAAGCAUCCGUAGCCGGUUCUACAAGUCUUCCGUUAAAUCCACCUGCUUAACAGAUGGGCUGCGGAAGAUACUAUAGAGCUAGGAGGCGGGAGAGGCAAGCGGUACUCGAUGGGUAGGGGUAAAAUCCGUUGAUCCAUUGAAGACCACCAGUGGCGAAGGCGGCUUGCCAGAACGCGCUCGACGGUGAGGGAUGAAAGCUGGGGGAGCAAACCGGAUUAGAUACCCGGGUAGUCCCAGCUGUAAACGAUGCAGACUCGGUGAUGAGUUGGCUUAUUGCUAACUCAGUGCCGCAGGGAAGCCGUUAAGUUUGCCGCCUGGGGAGUACGGUCGCAAGACUGAAACUUAAAGGAAUUGGCGGGGGAGCAC